RNAcentral lists this unclassified non-coding RNA (295 nucleotides) under fungal sp. RNAcentral's name for it is "partial internal transcribed spacer region". The stretch from base 1 to 46 matches the Rfam family "Eukaryotic small subunit ribosomal RNA", at positions 1786 to 1831 of the family's 1831-position model. The record is from RNAcentral. Lineage: Eukaryota; Fungi.
AAGUCGUAACAAGGUUUCCGUAGGUGAACCUGCGGAAGGAUCAUUAAUAUCAAAACGUUUUUCACAACGUUAACCCAACAUGUUGAACUGUAUCGGAAACGUUGGUGGUUUUUUGGCUAAGUUUCCCUAACGUUUCUUUGUUUUAUCUCAAAAUUUAGCUAAUUUAUUUUAACCCAAUUUCACCUCUAUAUUCUAUAUUCAUUUGUAUGAACUUAUCAUUUUUUGAUCCGAAAGGAUUGAAGAAAAUCAUACGAAACUUUAAGAACAACUCUUAACAACGGAUAUCUUGGCUCUC